Molecule: ribosomal RNA, 481 nt
Filed under: uncultured bacterium
Lineage: Bacteria
Description: partial 16S ribosomal RNA
Rfam family: Bacterial small subunit ribosomal RNA
Source: RNAcentral
GAUGAACGCUGGCGGCGUGCUUAACACAUGCAAGUCGAACGAAGCAUUUGCGACAGAUUUUUUCGGAAUGAAGUUGCUUAUGACUGAGUGGCGGACGGGUGAGUAACGCGUGGGUAACCUGCCUUGUACUGGGGGAUAGCAGCUGGAAACGGCUGGUAAUACCGCAUAAGCGCACAAUGUUGCAUGACAUGGUGUGAAAAACUCCGGUGGUAUAAGAUGGACCCGCGUCUGAUUAGCUAGUUGGUGAGAUAACAGCCCACCAAGGCGACGAUCAGUAGCCGACCUGAGAGGGUGACCGGCCACAUUGGGACUGAGACACGGCCCAGGCUCCUACGGGAGGCAGCAGUGGGGAAUAUUGCACAAUGGAGGAAACUCUGAUGCAGCGACGCCGCGUGAGUGAAGAAGUAAUUCGUUAUGUAAAGCUCUAUCAGCAGGGAAGAUAGUGACGGUACCUGACUAAGAAGCUCCGGCUAAAUACGUG